GACGAACGCUGGCGGCGUGCUUAACACAUGCAAGUCGAACGGAAAGGCCCUGCUUUUGUGGGGUGCUCGAGUGGCGAACGGGUGAGUAACACGUGAGUAACCUGCCCUUGACUUUGGGAUAACUUCAGGAAACUGGGGCUAAUACCGGAUAGGAGCUCCUGCUGCAUGGUGGGGGUUGGAAAGUUUCGGCGGUUGGGGAUGGACUCGCGGCUUAUCAGCUUGUUGGUGGGGUAGUGGCUUACCAAGGCUUUGACGGGUAGCCGGCCUGCGAGGGUGACCGGCCACAUUGGGACUGAGAGACGGACCAGACGCCUACGGGAGGCAGCAGUGGGGAAUAUUGCACAAUGGGCGGAAGCCUGAUGCAGCAACGCCGCGUGCGGGAUGACGGCCUUCGGGUUGUAAACCGCUUUCGCCUGUGACGAAGCGUGAGUGACGGUAAUGGGUAAAGAAGCACCGGCUAACUACGUG
RNAcentral lists this ribosomal RNA (468 nucleotides) under uncultured bacterium. RNAcentral's name for it is "partial 16S ribosomal RNA". It matches the Rfam family "Bacterial small subunit ribosomal RNA", at positions 28 to 507 of the family's 1533-position model. The record is from RNAcentral.